Molecule: ribosomal RNA, 419 nt
Filed under: bacterium
Lineage: Bacteria
Description: partial 16S ribosomal RNA
Rfam family: Bacterial small subunit ribosomal RNA
Source: RNAcentral
UGGGGGAUAUUGCACAAUGGGCGAAAGCCUGAUGCAGCGACGCCGCGUGGGGGAUGAAGGCCUUCGGGUUGUAAACUUCUUUUGCUCUGAACAAGGCAUGCUCAUGGGUGUGUUGAGUGUAGGGGUUGAUUAGCGCCGGCUAACUACGUGCCAGCAGCCGCGGUAAUACGUAGGGCGCGAGCGUUGUCCGGAAUUAUUGGGCGUAAAGGGCUUGUAGGUGGCUGGUUGCGUCUGUCGUGAAAGCUCAUGGCUUAACUGUGGGUUUGCGGUGGGUACGGGCUGGCUUGAGUGCAGUAGGGGAGGCUGGAAUUCCUGGUGUAGCGGUGGAAUGCGCAGAUAUCAGGAGGAAUACCGGUGGCGAAGGCGGGUCUCUGGGCUGUUACUGACACUGAGGAGCGAAAGCAUGGGGAGCGAACAGG